This 463-nucleotide ribosomal RNA is filed under the name uncultured bacterium. RNAcentral's name for it is "partial 16S ribosomal RNA". It matches the Rfam family "Bacterial small subunit ribosomal RNA", at positions 28 to 507 of the family's 1533-position model. The record is from RNAcentral.
GAUGAACGCUGACAGAAUGCUUAACACAUGCAAGUCGAUGGGGAAGUGGUGCUUGCACCAUGGUAACCAUGGCGGACGGGUGAGUAACGCGUAAGGAACUUGCCUGCGGGACUGGGAUAACAGCAGGAAACUGCUGAUAAUACCGGAUAAGGUCAUUAAGCUGCAUAGCUUAGUGAUGAAAGGAGACGCCUGCGGAGAGCCUUGCGUCCUAUUAGCUAGUUGGAGGGGUAACGGCCCACCAAGGCGAAGAUCGGUAGCCGGCCUGAGAGGGUGGACGGCCACAAGGGGACUGAGAUACGGCCCUGACUCCUACGGGAGGCAGCAGUGGGGAAUAUUGGACAAUGGGGGCAACCCUGAUCCAGCAAUUCUGUGUGCACGAAGACGGUUUUCGGAUUGUAAAGUGCUUUCAGCAGGGAAGAAGGAAGUGACGGUACCUGCAGAAGAAGCGACGGCUAAAUACGUG